AAACGAUGCCGAUGUCGUGGUGCCGAAUAAUGGCGACGCGAAAGAGAAAUCGAGUAGGGCCCUGGGGAGAGUACACGCGCAAGCGAGAAAUUUAAAGGAAAUUGACGGAAGAACACCACAAGGAGUGGAGUGUGCGGCUUAAUUUGACUCAACGCGGGACAACUUACCGGGCCCGACGACCGUAUGAGUGUAACACACGAUAGGUCGAAGAGUGGUGCAUGGCCGUUAACGACGAGUGGAGUGAUCUUUGAGUUAAGUCCGUAAAUUAGUGAGACCUCAGCCGUAAGGGACAGGUGCGCAAAGCACAGGAAGGAUGGGUCGAGGACAGGUCAGUGAUGCCCUUAGAUGGUCCGGGCUGCACGCGCACUACAGUGGUCGCCGAAAUUACCUGAUAAUUUUAAAGGCGAUCGAGAGGAAAUGAGCUUUGUAAGAGGCUCAGGAACGAGGAAUUGCUAGUAAUCGCGGACUCAUUAAGACGCGAUGAAUACGUCCCUGUUCUUUGUACACACCGCCCGUCGUUAUCGAAGACGAAGAUAGGCGCGAACGAUCUACCAGAAAGUGAGCGCAGGUCUUUAGAUCUGAUACAAGUCGUAACAAGGUAGCUGUAGGAGAACCUGUAGCUGG
Molecule: ribosomal RNA, 624 nt
Filed under: Loma lingcodae
Lineage: Eukaryota; Fungi; Microsporidia; Glugeidae
Description: SSU rRNA
Rfam family: Microsporidia small subunit ribosomal RNA
Source: RNAcentral